GACGAACGCUGGCGGCGUGCUUAACACAUGCAAGUCGAACGAAGAGCGAUGGAAGCUUGCUUCUAUCAAUCUUAGUGGCGAACGGGUGAGUAACGCGUAAUCAACCUGCCCUUCAGAGGGGGACAACAGUUGGAAACGACUGCUAAUACCGCAUACGAUCUAAUCUCGGCAUCGAGGAUAGAUGAAAGGUGGCCUCUACAUGUAAGCUAUCGCUGAAGGAGGGGAUUGCGUCUGAUUAGCUAGUUGGAGGGGUAACGGCCCACCAAGGCGAUGAUCAGUAGCCGGUCUGAGAGGAUGAACGGCCACAUUGGGACUGAGACACGGCCCAGACUCCUACGGGAGGCAGCAGUGGGGAAUCUUCCGCAAUGGACGAAAGUCUGACGGAGCAACGCCGCGUGAGUGAUGACGGCCCUCGGGUUGUAAAGCUCUGUUAAUCGGGACGAAAGGCCUUCUUGCGAAUAGUGAGAAGGAUUGACGGUACCGGAAUAGAAAGCCACGGCUAACUACGUG
RNAcentral lists this ribosomal RNA (510 nucleotides) under uncultured bacterium. RNAcentral's name for it is "partial 16S ribosomal RNA". It matches the Rfam family "Bacterial small subunit ribosomal RNA", at positions 28 to 507 of the family's 1533-position model. The record is from RNAcentral.